This is a non-coding RNA of Chlorocebus sabaeus (green monkey), 1533 nucleotides long. Lineage: Eukaryota; Metazoa; Chordata; Mammalia; Primates; Cercopithecidae. The record is from RefSeq and is a predicted model, not a curated record.
GUUACUAAAAAGUCUGAUUUAAGGCAAGACUGGAUCCGCGCUCAAACAAUGCUUUCAGGAAUCUGUGUCUCCAGCUCUCAGCCCUGCUCUCCCCUGACUCUACCCGGGUGGCAUCAAGGUGCGUUCUGGCAGUUUCAGGCCCAUGUCCUGCUAGUCAGCAAUACCAAGGGAAAGAGGGCCUCUUUCAAAACAGUGCAGCAAAAGUCCCGGGACGGAAUCCCCUUGGCGUGACCUGGGGUCAAACGCCUCUUCUGCAAUUAGUCGCCGUGGCUGGCCGAUGGGAUGUGCGGAUUUUUCUGGACUGACUCAUAUGCCGAUUCCUGAAGCUCCACCCAAACAACAUGGGCUCAUGUUUACGGAGGAGCAGGCCCUCAAGAAAAGCAGGUGCUUUCAUCAGAAGAGGGGUAGAGGUUGCACAGAGAAAAAUUAUGUUCAUCUUCUUUCCAAGGUCAGCUCCGCCGAAGGGGCCGCCAAGGAAGAGCCCAAGAGGAGAUGGGCGCUGUUGUCAGCUAAACCUCCCGCAAAAGUGGAAGCGAAGCCGAAAAAGGCAGCAGCGAAAGAUAAAUCUUCAGACAAAAAAGUGCAAACAAAAGGGAAAAAGGGAGCAAAGGGAAACAGGCCGAAGUGGCCAACCAAGAAACUAAAGAAGAUUUACCUGCAGUAAACGGGGAAAUGAAAACCGAGGAGAGUCCAGCCUCUGACGAAGCAGGAGAGAAAGAAGCCACGUCUGAUUAAUACCAUAUACCAUGUCUCACCAGUGGUGCCUGUCUCCCUUCUUGUACAAUCCAGAGGAAUAUUUUUAUCAACUAUUUUGUAAAUGCAAGUUUUUUAGUAGCUCUAGAAACAUUUUUAAGAAGGAGGGAAUCCCACCUCAUCCCAUUUUUUAAGUGUAAAUGCUUUUUUUAAGAGGUGAAAUCAUUUGCUGGUUAUUUUUUGGUACAACCAGAAACUAGUGGGGGAUAUUGAACUAUGGGAGGCUUUGACUGUCUCUGGUGUCAGCUUAACAUUCCAUAGAUGGGGGGUUAGUUUUUAUAUCCUAGAAUACAAAGCAUAUUAAAUGGCAAUAUGGAGUCAGUCCUGCAUUUAAUGUCUUGAACAUUUUAUUUUACUUCUAUUCCCGUGUUGUUUUUCAGUAGAAUUGUUUCCUACAGAAAACCACCCCUUGAUCAUGGCGCUCCCUGUCGGAAUUGUGUGCACUCUGUAACAUCUUUGGUAGUGGUAGUCCUGUUUGCCUAAUAACCGUGUUACUGUGCUGUGAAAGAUUACAGAUUUGAAUAUGUGGUGUACAUGCUAUUCAGUGUGAACUGGUGGGCCACAUGUAACAGCUGACCGACAUGUGAAGAAACUGGUACUUGAUAGCCUCUUAAGGAAAAUCUGCUUCCAAAUUUUAAGCUGGAAAGUCACUGGAAUAACUUUAAAAAAGAAUUACAAUACAUGGCUUUUUAGAAUUUCGUUACAUAUGUUAAGAAUUGUGUACAAAUUGAAAUGUCUGUACUGAUCCUCAACCAAUAAAAUCUCAAUUAUGAAAAAAAA